RNAcentral lists this ribosomal RNA (440 nucleotides) under uncultured bacterium. RNAcentral describes it as "partial 16S ribosomal RNA". It matches the Rfam family "Bacterial small subunit ribosomal RNA", at positions 338 to 795 of the family's 1533-position model. The record is from RNAcentral.
CCUACGGGGGGCAGCAGUAGGGAAUAUUGGUCAAUGGGCGAAACCCUGAAGCAGCCACGCCGCGUGGAGGAUGAAGGUUCUCGGAUUGUUAACCCUCUUUUUUAGAGAAACUAAUGACGGUAUCUAUCCUAUAAUCACUGUCGAACUCCGUGCCAGCACCGGUGGUAAUACGGAGGCUGCCAGCGUUAUUCGGAAUCACUGGGCGUAAAGCGCGUGUAGGCGGGAUAGCAAGUCAGAUGUGAAAUCCUUUGGCUGAACCAUAGAACUGCAUUUGAAACUGUUAUUCUAGAGUAUGGGAGAGGUAGGUGGAAUUCGUGGUGUAGGGGUGAAAGCCGUAGAGAUCAAGAGGAAUACUGAUUGCGAAGGCGGCCUGCUGGAACGUAACUGACGCUGAUGCGCGAAAGCGUGGGGAGCAAACAGGAUUAGAUACCCGAGUAGUC